Molecule: ribosomal RNA, 253 nt
Filed under: uncultured bacterium
Lineage: Bacteria
Description: partial 16S ribosomal RNA
Rfam family: Bacterial small subunit ribosomal RNA
Source: RNAcentral
UACGUAGGUGGCAAGCGUUGUCCGGAUUUACUGGGCGUAAAGAGCGCGCAGGCGGUCGUUCAAGUCGCGUGUGAAAGCCCCCGGCUCAACUGGGGAGGGUCACGCGAUACUGAUCGACUCGAAGGCAGGAGAGGGAAGUGGAAUUCCCGGUGUAGUGGUGAAAUGCGUAGAUAUCGGGAGGAACACCAGUGGCGAAGGCGACUUCCUGGCCUGUUCUUGACGCUGAGGCGCGACAGCUAGGGGAGCAAACGGG